ACGCUGGCGGCGUGCUUAACACAUGCAAGUCGAACGAUGAAGCCCAGCUUGCUGGGUGGAUUAGUGGCGAACGGGUGAGUAACACGUGAGUAACCUGCCCUUGACUCUGGGAUAAGCGUUGGAAACGACGUCUAAUACCGGAUACGAGCUUCCACCGCAUGGUGAGUUGCUGGAAAGAAUUUUGGUCAAGGAUGGACUCGCGGCCUAUCAGCUUGUUGGUGAGGUAACGGCUCACCAAGGCGACGACGGGUAGCCGGCCUGAGAGGGUGACCGGCCACACUGGGACUGAGACACGGCCCAGACUCCUACGGGAGGCAGCAGUGGGGAAUAUUGCACAAUGGGCGAAAGCCUGAUGCAGCAACGCCGCGUGAGGGACGACGGCCUUCGGGUUGUAAACCUCUUUUAGCAGGGAAGAAGCGAAAGUGACGGUACCUGCAGAAAAAGCACCGGCUAACUAC
Molecule: ribosomal RNA, 458 nt
Filed under: Plantibacter sp.
Lineage: Bacteria; Bacillati; Actinomycetota; Actinomycetes; Micrococcales; Microbacteriaceae
Description: bacterial SSU rRNA
Rfam family: Bacterial small subunit ribosomal RNA
Source: RNAcentral